Non-coding RNA from Callithrix jacchus (white-tufted-ear marmoset), 2196 nucleotides. The record is from RefSeq and is a predicted model, not a curated record. Lineage: Eukaryota; Metazoa; Chordata; Mammalia; Primates; Cebidae.
UGUCUAGUCAUCUGAGGCUACACUGAUGACACAGAGUUUCUUCAACUACAAGGGUGAGGGUCAGCAUGUGCUAACAGAGAUUUCAUGUAAACAAGGCCCCCCUGUAAUGUUUUCUAUGAAAUCUGUAAGAAGGCUUAGAGCUACAUCUUACUCUUUCACUGAUUAAAGCAUACAGAUUUGUGCUGCUACGACCUGACACCUGCCUUUCUAUACUGCACUGAAAUUCCCUGAAGCCCUAGUGUGGGACACACGUGGAAUCCACGUGGGACAGACACAUAUGGACUUGGAUGUGUGAAAAGAUGGAGCAAUAGCUUCCUGAUCUUCCAGUGAUCACAAUGCAGUGCUCUUUCCUGCCUCCUUGUGAAGAAGGAUGUUUUUGCUUCCUCUUCCACCAUGACUCCAGGAAUGAUGAAUGCUGACACUCAUUGCUGAGUCUUUUUAGCAUGAAGGAAAUCCACUAGUGUGCUUUUGCUGACGGCCCCCCAUUGGAGUGCUUUGGCUGGUACUUCUGUUGCUACACCAGAAAGCUUCUGCAAGAGGAUCCCACUGCCCAGCCACAGUGCUUUUGCAGGGGGCCCCCAAUGUCCCACCAGAGUGCUUUUGCUGAUGGCCCCUCAUAGGGGUACUUUUGCUGGCAUUUCUGCUGCCCCGCCAGAGUGCUUUCAAUAGAUUCCACAUCACUCCACCAAAGUGCUUUAAUCAGAGGUUCCUGCUGCUCCAUAGGAAUGCUUUUGUCAGCAGCCCGACAUAGAAAUUUUGCCAAUAGCCUGGGAGCACCUUGGUCCCUCCAUUGCAGCUUAUACUUGACAUCUAUAGGCCAGAGGACAAACCCAUAUACCUGGUCCCAGCCCCUCAGAGUUAGAUCACACAGCUCAGGAGUGUCAAACUGAGCAUUGGUCCUCUGAAAGCAUCCAGAAAUGAAGACAACCGGCUAUAUCCAAAUUACACCAUAGUUGAACCAUCAAAAGAAAUAAAGGACAUAAAAACAGAAAGCCUCAUCCAAAGGACAGCAACUUUGAAGGAUAAAGAAACACCAGAUUUCACAGAUUAGAAAGAACCAGCGUAAGAACUCUGGCAACUCUAAAAUCCAGAGUGUCAUCUUACCCUCAAAUGAUCACACCAACUCCCCAGCAAUGGUUCAAAACCAGAUGGAAAUGGCUGAAAUGACAGACACUGAAUUCAGAAUCAGGAUGGCAAGGAAGCUCAAUGAGAUACAGGAGGAGGUUGAAACCCAACCCAUGGAAAACAGUAAAAUGUCAUGGAAAACAGUAAAAUGAUCCAAUUGAAAGACAACAUAGCCAUUUUAAGAAAGAACCAUUUAAGAAAGAAGCUCAAUGAGAUACAGGAGGAGGUUGAAAUCCAACCCAUGGAAAACAGUAAAGAUCCAAGAACUGAAAAACAACAUAGCCAUUUUAAGAAAGAACCAAACUGAACUUGUGGAAUUGAAAAAUUCCCUACAGGAAUUUCAUAAUACAAUUGGAAGCACUGACAAUGGAAUUGACCAAGCUGAAGAAAGAAUUUCAGAGUUUGAAGACAGCUCCUUCAAAUCAAUGCAGGCAGACAAAAAUAAAGAAAAAAGAACUUAAAAAAACUAACAAAACCUCUGAGAAAUACAAGAUUAUCUAAGGAGACCAAACCUAUCACUCACUGACAUUCCUAAAAGAGAAACAAAGAGAAGGUGAGAGAGUAAGAAACUUGAAAAUCAUACUAAGGAUACAGUGGAUGAAAAUUUCCCCAAUUUCACUAGAGAGGUUGACAUGCAACUUGAACAAACUCAACAAGCUCCUGUGAGAUACUAUGCAAGAUGUCCAUCCCCAAGACACAUAGUCAUCAGAUUCUCCAAGGUCAACAUGAAAGACGAACAUCUUACAGUCACCUAGACAGAAGUGAUAGACCACUUUCAAAGGCUUACAGCAUACUUCUCAACAGAAACCUUACAAGCCAAAAGAGAUCAGGCCUUAUUUUCUGCAUCCUAAGGGAAAAGAAAGUCCAACCAAGAAUCUUAAUAUUCUGCUAAACUAAGCUUCAUAAGAAAAGGAGAAAUAAAAUCCAUUUUGGACAAGCAAACUCUAAGAGAAUUUAUUACUGCUACACCUGCCUUAAAAGAGCUUCUUAGUGUGUUUAUGUGGUGAAAUGUUUCCUUUGCUUCCCUGUUUAACACUCCCCUAAGAACAUAGCCCACAGAUACUAUAAAGA